UGCCAGCAUCCGCGGUACUCCUUAUUUCUCGAGCGUUACCCGGAUUCACUGGGCGUAAAGGGUGCGUAGGCGGAUAGAUGUGUGAGGUGUGAAAUCUCGGGGCUCAACCUCGAAACUGCGCCUCAAACUGUCUAUCUAGAGUAUUGGAGAGGUAAGCGGAAUUUCUGGUGUAGCGGUGAAAUGCGUAGAUAUCAGAAGGAACACCAAUGGCGAAGGCAGCUUACUGGACAAUAACUGACGCUGAGGCACGAAAGCAUGGGUAGCGAAAGGGAUUAGAUA
Molecule: ribosomal RNA, 279 nt
Filed under: uncultured bacterium
Lineage: Bacteria
Description: partial 16S ribosomal RNA
Rfam family: Bacterial small subunit ribosomal RNA
Source: RNAcentral